GACGAACGCUGGCGGCGUGCCUAAUACAUGCAAGUUGAGCGCUGAAGGCUGGUACUUGUACCAACUUGAUGAGCCGCGAACGGGUGAGUAACGCGUGGGGCAUCUCCCUUUGAGCGGGGUACAACAUUUGGAAACGAAUGCUAAUCCCGCAUAAACACUUUCAACACAAGUUUUAAUUUUGAAAGAUGCAAUUGCAUCACUCACACAUGAUCCCGCGUUGUAUUAGCUGGUUGGUGAGGUAAAGGCUCACCAAGGCGGGGAUACAUAGCCGAACUGAGAGGAUGAGCGGCCAGAUUGGGAGUGAGACACGGCCCAAACGGCUACGGGAGGCAGCAGUAGGGAAUCGUGGGGAAGGGACGAAAGACUGAGCGAGAAAGGCCGCGGGAGUGAAGAAGGAUGUCGGAUCGGAAAACACUGUUGGUAGAGAAGAACGUGGGUGAGAGUGGAAAGCACAUCAAGUGACGGUAACGACCAAGAAAGGGACGGCUAACUACGUG
Molecule: ribosomal RNA, 497 nt
Filed under: uncultured bacterium
Lineage: Bacteria
Description: partial 16S ribosomal RNA
Rfam family: Bacterial small subunit ribosomal RNA
Source: RNAcentral